GGUGAGGUGGCCAAGUGGUCUAAGGCGCUGCGUUCAGUUCGCAGUCUCUUUGGAGGUGUGGAUUCAAACCCCACCCUCAUCA
Transfer RNA from Basidiobolus meristosporus CBS 931.73, 82 nucleotides. It matches the Rfam family "tRNA". From Rfam's summary of the family: Transfer RNA (tRNA) molecules are approximately 80 nucleotides in length. Their secondary structure includes four short double-helical elements and three loops (D, anti-codon, and T loops). NCBI's taxonomy places the organism in Eukaryota, Fungi, Basidiobolomycota, Basidiobolomycetes, Basidiobolales, Basidiobolaceae. The record is from Rfam.